GGAGUUAGCCGGUGCUUCUUCUGUGAGUGAUGUCCUUCCUGCCGGCUAUUAACCCGCAGGCCUUCUUCCUCACUGAAAGUGCUUUACAACCCGAAGGCCUUCUUCACACACUCGGCAUGGCUGGAUCAGGGUUGCCCCCAUUGUCCAAUAUUCCCCACUGCUGCCUCCCGUAGGAGUCUGGGCCGUGUCUCAGUCCCAGUGUGGCUGAUCAUCCUCUCAGACCAGCUACGGAUCGUCGCCUUGGUGAGCCGUUACCUCACCAACCAGCUAAUCCGACAUAGGCUCAUCCGAUAGCGCGAGGCCCGAAGGUCCCCCGCUUUCCCCCGUAGGGCGUAUGCGGUAUUAGCCUGGGUUUCCCCAGGUUAUCCCCCACUACCGGGCAGAUUCCUAUGCAUUACUCACCCGUCCGCCGCUCGCCACCAGGGAGCAAGCUCCCCGUGCUGCCGCUCGACUUGCAUGUGUUAGGCCUGCCGCCAGCGUUCAAUCUGAGCCAGAAUCAAACUCUGA
This 507-nucleotide ribosomal RNA is filed under the name uncultured bacterium. Its description in RNAcentral is "partial 16S ribosomal RNA". The record is from RNAcentral.